This 744-nucleotide ribosomal RNA is filed under the name uncultured bacterium. RNAcentral describes it as "bacterial SSU rRNA". It matches the Rfam family "Bacterial small subunit ribosomal RNA", at positions 8 to 796 of the family's 1533-position model. The record is from RNAcentral.
AGAGUUUGAUCAUGGCUCAGAGCGAACGCUGGCGGCAGGCUUAACACAUGCAAGUCGAGCGGGCGUAGCAAUACGUCAGCGGCAGACGGGUGAGUAACGCGUGGGAACAUACCUUUUGGUUCGGAACAACACAGGGAAACUUGUGCUAAUACCGGAUAAGCCCUUACGGGGAAAGAUUUAUCGCCGAAAGAUUGGCCCGCGUCUGAUUAGCUAGUUGGUGAAGUAACGGCUCACCAAGGCGACGAUCAGUAGCUGGUCUGAGAGGAUGAUCAGCCACAUUGGGACUGAGACACGGCCCAAACUCCUACGGGAGGCAGCAGUGGGGAAUAUUGGACAAUGGGCGCAAGCCUGAUCCAGCCAUGCCGCGUGAGUGAUGAAGGCCCUAGGGUUGUAAAGCUCUUUUGUGCGGGAAGAUAAUGACGGUACCGCAAGAAUAAGCCCCGGCUAACUUCGUGCCAGCGGCCGCGGUAAUACGAAGGGGGCUAGCGUUGCUCGGAAUCACUGGGCGUAAAGGGUGCGUAGGCGGGUCUUUAAGUCAGGGGUGAAAUCCUGGAGCUCAACUCCAGAACUGCCUUUGAUACUGAAGAUCUUGAGUUCGGGAGAGGUGAGUGGAACUGCGAGUGUAGAGGUGAAAUUCGUAGAUAUUCGCAAGAACACCAGUGGCGAAGGCGGCUCACUGGCCCGAUACUGACGCUGAGGCACGAAAGCGUGGGGAGCAAACAGGAUUAGAUACCCUAGUAGUCC